RNAcentral lists this RNase P RNA (352 nucleotides) under bovine gut metagenome. RNAcentral describes it as "Bacterial RNase P class A". It matches the Rfam family "Bacterial RNase P class A". From Rfam's summary of the family: Ribonuclease P (RNase P) is a ubiquitous endoribonuclease, found in archaea, bacteria and eukarya as well as chloroplasts and mitochondria. Its best characterised activity is the generation of mature 5'-ends of tRNAs by cleaving the 5'-leader elements of precursor-tRNAs. The record is from RNAcentral.
AGUGGGCCAGGCGACCGCGGGCUGGCAGCGAUGCCAGCAUGAGGAAAGUCCGGGCUCCACAGGGCAGGAGGCAGGUUAACGGCCUGGCGGGGCAACCCGACGGAAAGCGCCGCAGAAAAGAAGACUCCCGCUGCCCGCCUUGGCGGGUGAGAGAAAAGCUGAAACGGUGGUGUAAGAGACCACCAGCGUCGUGGCGACACGGCGGCUUGGCAAGCCCCCUCCGGAGCAAGCGCAUGUAGGAGCGCGAUGGUGUGGCCCGCACUGCGCUCGGGUAGCGUGCUUGAGGCCUGCGGUAACGCAGGUCCUAGAUAAAUGGCCGCCCACGACAGAACCCGGCUUAUCGGCCCACUUC